Molecule: ribosomal RNA, 584 nt
Filed under: uncultured bacterium
Lineage: Bacteria
Description: partial 16S ribosomal RNA
Rfam family: Bacterial small subunit ribosomal RNA
Source: RNAcentral
UGGGGAAUAUUGCACAAUGGGCGCAAGCCUGAUGCAGCCAUGCCGCGUGUGUGAAGAAGGCCUCGGGUUGUAAGCACUUUCAGCGAGGAGGAAGGUGGUGAGCUUAAUACGCUCAUCAAUUGACGUUACUCGCAGAAGAAGCACCGGCUAACUCCGUGCCAGCAGCCGCGGUAAUACGGAGGGUGCAAGCGUUAAUCGGAAUUACUGGGCGUAAAGCGCACGCAGGCGGUUUGUUAAGUCAGAUGUGAAAUCCCCGGGCUCAACCUGGGAACUGCAUUUGAAACUGGCAAGCUAGAGUCUCGUAGAGGGGGGUAGAAUUCCAGGUGUAGCGGUGAAAUGCGUAGAGAUCUGGAGGAAUACCGGUGGCGAAGGCGGCCCCCUGGACGAAGACUGACGCUCAGGUGCGAAAGCGUGGGGCAGCAAACAGGAUUAGAUACCCUGGUAGUCCAGCGCUGUAAACGAUGUCGAUUUUGGAGGUUGUGCCCUUGAGGCGUGGCUUCCGGAGCUAACGCGUUAAAGUCGACCGCCUGGGGAGUACGGCGCAAGGUUAAAACUCAAAUGAAUUGACGGGUCAUAGCUGUUCC